This 433-nucleotide ribosomal RNA is filed under the name uncultured bacterium. RNAcentral describes it as "partial 16S ribosomal RNA". It matches the Rfam family "Bacterial small subunit ribosomal RNA", at positions 29 to 507 of the family's 1533-position model. The record is from RNAcentral.
AACGAACGCUGGCGGCAUGCCUAACACAUGCAAGUCGAACGAGACCUUCGGGUCUAUUGGCGCACGGGAGCGUAACGCGUGGGAACCUGCCCUUAGGUUCGGAAUAACUCCCCGAAAGGGGUGCUAAUACCGGAUAAUGUCUUCGGACCAAAGAUUUAUCGCCUUUGGAUGGGCCCGCGUUGGAUUAGCCAGUUGGUAGGGUAAAAGCCUACCAAGGCGACGAUUCAUAGCUGGUCUGAGAGGAUGAUCAGCCACACUGGGACUGAGACACGGCCCAGACUCCUACGGGAGGCAGCAGUGGGGAAUAUUGGACAAUGGGCGAAAGCCUGAUCCAGCAAUGCCGCGUGAGUGAUGAAGGCCUUAGGGUUGUAAAGCUCUUUUACCCGGGAUGAUAGUGACAGUACCGGGAGAAUAAGCUCCGGCUAACUCCGUG